CCUACGGGAGGCAGCAGUGAGGAAUAUUGGUCAAUGGACGAGAGUCUGAACCAGCCAAGUAGCGUGAAGGAUGACUGCCCUAUGGGUUGUAAACUUCUUUUAUAUGGGAAUAAAAUGUUCCACGUGUGGGAUUUUGUAUGUACCAUAUGAAUAGGGAUCGGCUAACUCCGUGCCAGCAGCCGCGGUAAUACGGAGGAUCCGAGCGUUAUCCGGAUUUAUUGGGUUUAAAGGGAGCGUAGGUGGAUUGUUAAGUCAGUUGUGAAAGUUUGCGGCUCAACCGUAAAAUUGCAGUUGAAACUGGCAGUCUUGAGUACAGUAGAGGUAGGCGGAAUUCGUGGUGUAGCGGUGAAAUGCUUAGAUAUCACGAAGAACUCCGAUUGCGAAGGCAGUUCACUGGACUGCAACUGACACUGAGGCUCGAAAGUGUGGGUAUCAAACAGGAUUAGAUACCCUUGUAGUC
RNAcentral lists this ribosomal RNA (460 nucleotides) under uncultured bacterium. Its description in RNAcentral is "partial 16S ribosomal RNA". It matches the Rfam family "Bacterial small subunit ribosomal RNA", at positions 338 to 795 of the family's 1533-position model. The record is from RNAcentral.